CCUACGGGAGGCAGCAGUGGGGGAUAUUGCACAAUGGGGGAAACCCUGAUGCAGCGACGCCGCGUGUGGGAAGACGGUCCUCUGGAUUGUAAACCACUGUCCCCAGGGACGAAGAUGACGGUACCUGGGGAGGAAGCUCCGGCUAACUACGUGCCAGCAGCCGCGGUAAUACGUAGGGAGCGAGCGUUGUCCGGAAUUACUGGGUGUAAAGGGAUCGAAGGCGGGACUGCGAGUUGGGUGUAAAAUCUACCGGCUCAACCGGUAGCCGCACUCAAAACUGCAGUUCUUGAGUGAAGUAGAGGCAGGCGGAAUUCCUAGUGUAGCGGUGAAAUGCGGAGAUAUUAGGAGGAACACCAGUGGCGAAGGCGGCCUGCUGGGCUUUUACUGACGCUGAGGCUCGAAAGUGUGGGGAGCAAACAGGAUUAGAUACCCGAGUAGUC
This 440-nucleotide ribosomal RNA is filed under the name uncultured bacterium. Its description in RNAcentral is "partial 16S ribosomal RNA". It matches the Rfam family "Bacterial small subunit ribosomal RNA", at positions 338 to 795 of the family's 1533-position model. The record is from RNAcentral.